GAUGAACGCUGGCGGCGUGCCUAACACAUGCAAGUCGAACAGGAAUCUUCGGAUUCUAGUGGCGGACGGGUGAGUAACGCGUAAGAAUCUAACUUCAGGACGGGGACAACAGUUGGAAACGACUGCUAAUACCCGAUAUGCCGCGAGGUGAAACCUAAUUGGCCUGAAGAAGAGCUUGCGUCUGAUUAGCUAGUUGGUGGGGUAAGAGCCUACCAAGGCGACGAUCAGUAGCUGGUCUGAGAGGAUGAGCAGCCACACUGGGACUGAGACACGGCCCAGACUCCUACGGGAGGCAACAGUGGGGAAUUUUUCCGCAAUGGGCGAAAGCCUGACGGAGCAACGCCGCGUGAGGGAGGAAGGUCUUUGGAUUGUAAACCUCUUUUCUCAAGGAAGAAGUUCUGACGGUACUUGAGGAAUCAGCCUCGGCUAACUCCGUACCAGCAGCCGCGGUAAU
This 454-nucleotide ribosomal RNA is filed under the name uncultured cyanobacterium. RNAcentral describes it as "bacterial SSU rRNA". It matches the Rfam family "Bacterial small subunit ribosomal RNA", at positions 28 to 524 of the family's 1533-position model. The record is from RNAcentral. Lineage: Bacteria; Bacillati; Cyanobacteriota.